GAUUAACGCUGGCGGCGUGCCUAACGCAUGCAAGUCGAGCGGCAGCGAGUUUUACACUGAAUUCUGGAAGCUUCUAGUUGAAAGAGAAGAUUUAUUCAAGAAUUUUGUGUAAAAUGUCGGCGAGCGGCGGACGGCUGAGUAACGCGUGGGAACGUACCCCAAAGUGAGGGAUAACGCAUCGAAAGGUGUGCUAAUACCGCAUAUGGUCUUCGGAUUAAAGCCUUCGGGCGCUUUGGGAACGGCCUGCGUAAGAUUAGAUAGUUGGUGGGGUAAUGGCCUACCAAGUCGACGAUCUUUAACUGGUUUGAGAGGAUGAUCAGUCAGACUGGAACUGAGACACGGUCCAGACUCCUACGGGAGGCAGCAGUGAGGAAUCUUCCACAAUGGGCGAAAGCCUGAUGGAGCAACGCCGCGUGCAGGAUGAAGGCCUUCGGGUUGUAAACUGCUUUUAUAAGUGAGGAUUAUGACAGUAACUUAUGAAUAAGGAUCGGCUAACUACGUG
RNAcentral lists this ribosomal RNA (502 nucleotides) under uncultured bacterium. RNAcentral describes it as "partial 16S ribosomal RNA". It matches the Rfam family "Bacterial small subunit ribosomal RNA", at positions 28 to 507 of the family's 1533-position model. The record is from RNAcentral.